CUUAUUCCUGUUUUAGGUUCAGUACAUACUCCUUCGUUUUACUCAAGUGUGUAAAACAAAGUUGGCCCCUUGCCAACCCUUCUGUUGUAUCUAUACUCCAUAGGAAGAAGAUGGGAUUCUUUAUUCUGUGGCACAAAAUGGGUGUGUGCAAGCCCUGUAUCAGGAGGGACCCCCUGGCUAUAGGGGACCUAUACCUUCUCCUGGAGUUGAUUCUGCUCUGUCUCUUCUCUGUGUGAGUAAAGUGUUGUUCCAUCUA
RNAcentral lists this long non-coding RNA (256 nucleotides) under Lynx pardinus (Iberian lynx). The record is from RNAcentral. Lineage: Eukaryota; Metazoa; Chordata; Mammalia; Carnivora; Felidae.